UGGGGAAUUUUCCGCAAUGGGCGAAAGCCUGACGGAGCAAGACCGCGUGAGGGAGGAAGGCUCUUGGGUUGUAAACCUCUUUUCUCAGGGAAGAAGCUCUGACGGUACCUGAGGAAUCAGCCUCGGCUAACUCCGUGCCAGCAGCCGCGGUAAUACGGAGGAGGCAAGCGUUAUCCGGAAUUAUUGGGCGUAAAGCGUCCGCAGGUGGCGAUUCAAGUCUGCUGUCAAAGCACGGGGCUUAACUCCGUAAAGGCAGUGGAAACUGAAUAGCUAGAGUGCCGUAGGGGUAGAGGGAAUUCCCGGUGUAGCGGUGAAAUGCGUAGAGAUCGGGAAGAACAUCGGUGGCGAAAGCGCUCUACUGGACGGCAACUGACACUCAGGGACGAAAGCUAGGGGAGCGAAUGGGAUUAGAUACCCCAGUAGUCCUAGCUGUAAACGAUGGAUACUAGGUGUAGCUUGUAUCGACCCGAGCUGUGCCGAAGCUAACGCGUUAAGUAUCCCGCCUGGGGAGUACGCACG
Molecule: ribosomal RNA, 519 nt
Filed under: Coleofasciculus chthonoplastes
Lineage: Bacteria; Bacillati; Cyanobacteriota; Cyanophyceae; Coleofasciculales; Coleofasciculaceae
Description: bacterial SSU rRNA
Rfam family: Bacterial small subunit ribosomal RNA
Source: RNAcentral